AAUUUAGAGAACAUGAUGUUGGUUCAGAUCAAAUGCUAUGUAGAGACAUAACACAUGCAAGUUAUUAAAUAAAUAGCGUUAAGGUGAGUGAUAUAAGAUAAAAAAAAUAUCUUAUUCAGAUGUAGGUAAUAGAUAAUUAAAUCUAGCCUUGGAACUGGAGCCGGCGAUAAGCGUCACAACGGCCACAUUGAUUUAUUAUCAACUCUUAUAUAGAGCAGCAGUGGGGAAUCUUUGACAAUGGUCUAACGACUGAUCAAGUUAUCUACGAGAAGGAUAUUAAUUAUAAAUAUAUAAUAAUUUAUAUAUUUAAUUACAAAUAAUAAAAGAUUAACUAUAAACUUCUAAAUAAUAGUAAUAAUGAUACUAAUUAUGAAAGAGUCCUAACUAAAAUAUGUGCCAGCAGCUGCGGUGUGCGACAUGUAAGCUAUUCUUUAUAUUUCGAUAAAAUAUCGACAUUAUUCGUAACAAAUAUGUACCUAUCUAUACAUGCUUUUAAAGUGAUUUUUUAGUAUGAAGCUAUAGAAACAAUGUAAUUUAUAAUAAAUAUCACAUAUAUUAUAAAUGCUAGGUAAAUUUACUAUGGUUAAUUAAAGUUAACUACUUGUAGAGGUCUCUUUAGGCAAAUUAUUUAGUGAUAAAAUAAAUAAAUAAUAAUCAGGAGUUUGAAUAGAUUCAUCGUAUAUCUAUUCUGUUAUAAACGUUAAAACUGAUAGGGAUAAAGAGUAGAACCUAAGGUAAAUAUAUAUAAAGAAUGGAACUUGGUAAGCCUCAUAUUCACUAUAAUAUAUAUUAUAGAGGUUAUUUAUAAAAUAGAAAUAUGGAAAUAAUAAUAACGAAUAGGAGGUAAAAGACUUCUUAAAAAGCAAAUGCAAUAAUGUAAUGUUAUUGAUAAGUUUAAAUAAACUAACUUGAAAGAGUGCAGACUUAAGAUAAGGGUGUUAUUAUAAAAUUAAAAUAAUGCCUGAGCCGUAUGCGAUGAAAGUCGCACGUACGGUUCUAAAGGGGGGAAAGUUUGUGAGAACCUACCUAUCCUAAUUAGACAUAGAGGGCAAGCAUUGAUCAGAAUGGCUUAAAGGAUCUGUAGAACGAAUCUUUAAAAAUAAAGAUAUAGAAUAAUGUCUUGAAAGAGAGAUAAGGUAAUAAGAAUUAAAGUUAGAGGGAUAAAAUACUACGAAAACAUUAAGACUAUAAAGAGAUUACUUAAAAUUAUUGACGUUGUGAGAUGAAGGCUACGGUAGCGACAUGGAUUCGAUACCCAUUUAGUCGUAGCAGUUAACUAUGAGUACAAUAAAAGAAAAAUGAAAAUGAAUAGUACUCCGCCUGACUAGUACGCUCGCAAGGGUGAAAUACAAGACAUUAGACGGUUGUAGUCCCAAGCAGUGGAACAUGUCAUUUAAUUGGAUGAUCCUCCAAGAACCUUACCAUCUCUUGAAUUUUUAACAGGCGUUACAUCGUUGUCGUCAGUUCAUGCCGUGAGGUUUAAUAUUAAGUUAUUGAAUGAACGUAACCCUUUUCUUUAUAGAUAAGUAUAAUUGUAAAAUUAUAGGAAGUAGAGGUAGAAGACUAAUCAUGAUGACCCUAAUGAGAUGGGCUAUCGACGUGUUACAAUAUUAAUAACAAUUAUAUUAACUCAAAGUUAACAUAUUAUAUACUUUUAAACCCCACAGCUUAGCUACGGGCCAGUAUAUUUAUUAAAUAUUAAGAUUAAGACAUAGUUUCAUUUAUGAAUUGUAAUCUGAAAUUCGGUUACAUAAAGGAGGAAUUGCUAGUAAUCGUAAACUAGAGUGUUACGGUGAAAUUUUUUGCUACUUCGUACUAACCACUCAUCAACAGCAAGAAAUUUUAAUUUUACUUAUUGAGCUUUUAUUAAAAGGACUUGCUGUAAGUUGAAAUACGGUUCGGUUAGGGGAACCUGAUCGGGAUUUAUUUAUUUA
RNAcentral lists this ribosomal RNA (1934 nucleotides) under Metschnikowia sp. 01-655c1. Lineage: Eukaryota; Fungi; Ascomycota; Pichiomycetes; Serinales; Metschnikowiaceae. The record is from RNAcentral.